RNAcentral lists this ribosomal RNA (410 nucleotides) under bacterium enrichment culture clone ALO1_GLFRUDD03F93OQ. Its description in RNAcentral is "bacterial SSU rRNA". It matches the Rfam family "Bacterial small subunit ribosomal RNA", at positions 9 to 419 of the family's 1533-position model. The record is from RNAcentral. RNAcentral also lists the same sequence under 13 other names.
GAGUUUGAUCGUGGCUCAGAUUGAACGCUGGCGGCAUGCCUUACACAUGCAAGUCGAACGGCAGCACGGGAGCUUGCUCCUGGUGGCGAGUGGCGAACGGGUGAGUAAUGCAUCGGAACGUAUCCUGGAGUGGGGGAUAACGUAGCGAAAGUUACGCUAAUACCGCAUAUUCUGUGAGCAGGAAAGCGGGGGACCUUCGGGCCUCGCGCUCUUGGAGCGGCCGAUGUCGGAUUAGCUAGUUGGUGAGGUAAAGGCUCACCAAGGCGACGAUCCGUAGCAGGUCUGAGAGGAUGAUCUGCCACACUGGAACUGAGACACGGUCCAGACUCCUACGGGAGGCAGCAGUGGGGAAUUUUGGACAAUGGGGGCAACCCUGAUCCAGCCAUGCCGCGUGAGUGAAGAAGGCCUGG